GACGAACGCUGGCGGCGUGCUUAACACAUGCAAGUCGAACGGAAAGGCCUCUUUCGGGGGGUACUCGAGUGGCGAACGGGUGAGUAACACGUGAGUAACCUGCCCUUGACUUUGGGAUAACUUCAGGAAACUGGGGCUAAUACCGGAUAGGAGCUCCUGCUGCAUGGUGGGGGUUGGAAAGUUUCGGCGGUUGGGGAUGGACUCGCGGCUUAUCAGCUUGUUGGUGGGGUAGUGGCUUACCAAGGCUUUGACGGGUAGCCGGCCUGAGAGGGUGACCGGCCACAUUGGGACUGAGAUACAGCCCAGACUCCUACGGGAGGCAGCAGGGGGGAAUAUUGCACAAUGGGUGGAAGCCGGAUGCAGCAACGCCGUGGGCGGGAGGACGGCCUUCGGGUUGGAAACCGCUUUCGCUCAUGACGAAGCUUUGUGUGACGGUAGUGGGUAAAGAAGCACCGGCUAACUACGUG
RNAcentral lists this ribosomal RNA (467 nucleotides) under uncultured bacterium. RNAcentral describes it as "partial 16S ribosomal RNA". It matches the Rfam family "Bacterial small subunit ribosomal RNA", at positions 28 to 507 of the family's 1533-position model. The record is from RNAcentral.